Molecule: ribosomal RNA, 466 nt
Filed under: uncultured bacterium
Lineage: Bacteria
Description: partial 16S ribosomal RNA
Rfam family: Bacterial small subunit ribosomal RNA
Source: RNAcentral
GACGAACGCUGGCGGCGUGCUUAACACAUGCAAGUCGAACGGUAAGGCUCCAGCUUGCUGGGGUACACGAGUGGCGAACGGGUGAGUAACACGUGGGUGACCUGCCCUGCACUUCGGGAUAAGCCUGGGAAACUGGGUCUAAUACCGGAUAGGACCAUGGUGUGGAUACUGUGGUGGAAAGUUUUUUCGGUGUGGGAUGGGCCCGCGGCCUAUCAGCUUGUGGGUGGGGUAAUGGCCUACCAAGGCGGCGACGGGUAGCCGGCCUGAGAGGGUGGACGGCCACAUGGGGGCGGAGACGCGGCCCAGACUCCUACGGGAGGCAGCAGUGGGGAAUAGUGCACAAUGGGCGGAAGCCUGAUGCAGCGACGCCGCGUGGGGGGUGACGGCCUUCGGGUUGUAAACUCCUUUCGCCAUCGACGAAGGGUUUCUGACGGUAGAUGGAGAAGAAGCACCGGCUAACUACGUG